Plutella xylostella (diamondback moth) is the source of this 1076-nucleotide non-coding RNA. The record is from RefSeq and is a predicted model, not a curated record. Lineage: Eukaryota; Metazoa; Arthropoda; Insecta; Lepidoptera; Plutellidae.
CUCUAAAAUAAUGAGUGAAUCUUACAGGUAAGUGUCAUUAUUCUUUCAAAUACCCUGUAUGCAUGCUACUAAACUAAGUCCUCAUGCCCAAAUUAUCGUGAUUCAAAAUAAACAACCUCUGAAUUGUUAGUUAUUUAUACAUACAAUAGCUCUGUUUUACGAAUCUUGUGUUUAUAAUAGACCUAUUGUUAUAAAAAUCUAACUCAAUUAAAUAUCUCCCAUACAGUUUUUAAUUGAUACUGACAAGACUAACCAACAUAUUUUAACUUAUUGUCAACCCCUCACCUUUUAAAUAAGUACCUAUCCUAAUCAUUUGGUCUCCAACUCCUAUAUUUACAUAAUUUUAUUUGAAUUAUACCUAUACCAUUAUUUGUUUUAUUUCAGAACCAAACAUAACAAUGCAAACCCAACUACACUCUUUGUUGAACUAAAACCCAUGAUAAACCACUGAUCAAACCAUCCACUGUGACAAAACAUUCACAAUCCCUCACUACUUAUAGACCAAAGUUACUAUUCUACAAUAAGAUAUGACAUACUUUUUGAAUGCUGAUGAUGAUGAUGAUGUUCUCUAUUUGACAACCAAACUCUGAGAUUAUACACUAUGAAGUAAACAUCCUGACUCAGAUGAAGAAGUGUAUUGCAACCGCGCUCAAAAUAGGAACAACUAAACUACCCACAUAGUUCUUAAACUUACAAACAAUAUAUUGAUACUAAAUGAGGUCCUAGCCUACUUCACCUGGUCUAACACUUUAUCAACAACAGUAACUUGCUACACAUUAAUUGUUUUCUAAAUUUAUUGUUAUAUCUGACCGCUAUCCUUUCAUCAUAUAUUUCUUUAAUAUUUUUUUUUAUGAGAUUAUUCUUAAUUUUCUUUUCUUUAUUAACUGUAACUCAUACUUGUAUUCGUUUAGGAAAAUGUCUGAUAAUAUCUGCUACUAAUUGGCUCUCUGAAAUCUGAUAAUUAGACAUUUGGGCUUUUCCGGUUACUCUAAGUUAGAAUGAUAGCAUAGAUAGUGUUACAGUUCUAUCCCAACUCCUAUGAUCAAUGUUGUAUAAUAUAUCUACUCUUUCAGACA